RNAcentral lists this ribosomal RNA (468 nucleotides) under uncultured bacterium. Its description in RNAcentral is "partial 16S ribosomal RNA". It matches the Rfam family "Bacterial small subunit ribosomal RNA", at positions 28 to 507 of the family's 1533-position model. The record is from RNAcentral.
GACGAACGCUGGCGGCGUGCUUAACACAUGCAAGUCGAACGGAAAGGCCCUGCUUUUGUGGGGUGCUCGAGUGGCGAACGGGUGAGUAACACGUGAGUAACCUGCCCUUGACUUUGGGAUAACUUCAGGAAACUGGGGCUAAUACCGGAUAGGAGCUCCUGCUGCAUGGUGGGGGUUGGAAAGUUUCGGCGGUUGGGGAUGGACUCGCGGCUUAUCAGCUUGUUGGUGGGGUAGUGGCUUCCAAAGGCUUUGAGGGGUAGCCGGCCUGAGAGGGUGAGCGGCCACUUUGGGACUGAGAUACGGCCCAGACUCCUGCGGGGGAGAACAGUGGGAUAUAUUGCACUGUGGGCGGAACCCAUGUGCAGCCGCGCCGCGGGCGGGAUGACGGCCUUCGGUUUGUAAACCGCUUGCGCCUGUGACGAAGCGUGAGUGACGGUAAUGGGUAAAGAAGCACCGGCUAACUACGUG